AUGGUUCCGUUCAGAUGGAUUAAAAUGUCUUUGUUUGUGAUACUGGUUCUGUUUACAGCAGUAACUGGACAAAACUCUUCCUUCACUGUCAGAGUUGGAGAUGAAGUCACUUUGCCUUGUGAAAAUGUGAUUAAAAAUCAGAACAAAUGUGACAGUACCACUUGGAUUAUCUGGGGGUCAUCUGGGGGAACAGCAAGAGAGCUGGUUACUCUUGGGAAGAUUAGUCAAACUGGGAUUUCCAAAGAUAUAUCAGACAGACUGAAUGUUACAGAGAACUGUUCUCUGGUUAUAAAGAAGGUCACAGACAAGGAUGUUGGUCGUUACACCUGCAGACAGUUUAUAUCAGGACAACAACAAGGUCCAGACUCUCAGGUUGAUCUGUCUGUUAUUAACAUUGAGAAACAACAGUACAAUGAUACAGUCAUCUUGAUCUGCGCUGUGUUGACAUAUGGACGCUGUGGACACACAGUGAAGUGGCUGUAUGAUGAAAAAGAUAAGAAUGUGUUGGACACAUUAGAUACUGUCUGUUCAUCAAAGGUGACAUUUACAACUCAUCUCAAUCAGAAGUCAAACUAUUAUGAGUUAUUUAAGUGUAACGUGACAGAUGCUAAGAGAGGACAAACGCUGCUGUGUGAUGUCGGUCCCCAGUCCUCAUGUGAGAAAACAGGUACAGUUUAAAAUUUUAUUAUUUUAUUUCAUUUUGUCUCAUCAGAUGGUAACAUGAGGUAUUUUGUCACAAUUUGUUGUUUUAUUUCAUAUCAUAUUCAACAAAAUCAAAAGGAAGCAAAGGGAAUAAUAAGACUGCAGAGGAUGACACUUCAACACAAGGUAGUGACUUAACAUCUCUCUCUCUCUCUCUCUCUCUCUCUCUCUCUCCCUCCUGCUCUCUCUCCUCUCUCUCUCAUCUGUUUCUCUCUCUCUCUCCUCUGUUCGUCUCUCUCUCUAACCCUCCCUCUCUCUCUCUCUCUCUCCUGUUUCUCUCUUCUCCUUCUCUCUCUCUCUCUCUCCUCUGUUCCUCUCUCUCUCUCUCCUCUGUCUCUCUCGCUCUCUCCUCUGUCUCUCUCGCUGUCUCUCUCUCCUCUGUUUCUCACCCCCCCCCCUCUCACUCUUUCUCUCUAUCUCCCUCCUGCUCUCUCUCUCAUCUGUUCCUCUCUCUCUCUCUCUCUCUCUCCUCGUUCUGAGGCGCCGGCAUGGCGUCCAGCAGCGGAUUCUCCAGGCUGACUCGGAAGCACGGCAUUAAAACCGGAGCCGGCUCUCCGUGCAGGGUGGAGGAGGUAGCACUGACUAGUUUGAUUAUCACUUCAGAGUCCGUGUGUCGAUGAUUUCGAGUACAUCCUCUUUGCGACAUCAUCCACUGUGAAAUGAUUCGGAUGUGGCUAAGAGGGACAUUUGAUUAAGGCCUGUCCGAGCCGCGGUGCCCCGGCAG
Dicentrarchus labrax (European seabass) is the source of this 1426-nucleotide long non-coding RNA. Lineage: Eukaryota; Metazoa; Chordata; Actinopteri; Moronidae. The record is from Ensembl.